RNAcentral lists this small RNA (83 nucleotides) under Flavobacterium sp. 11. RNAcentral describes it as "Flavo-1 RNA". Lineage: Bacteria; Pseudomonadati; Bacteroidota; Flavobacteriia; Flavobacteriales; Flavobacteriaceae. The record is from RNAcentral.
CCCUAGUCUCGAUAACAGUGGGAAUCCUUUUAUUUGCAUUGUUGUUCAGUGAAUUUCAUUUACAACGGAUAACGGGAAUAGCU